AUGGUGGUGUCAAAAUUCUAGCAAGUAUUUCGUGCUAAGCAAAAUGGCUCGUGGCACUUUUUGCAUUCCAAUCACAACGGUUGCCUCGGAAUCGGCCUUUAGUGCUGGAGGACGUGUAUUGGAUGACUAUAGAAGCUCUCUUUCCAAAGAUAUGGCCGAGCUUCUUGUUUGUGGAAUAGAUUGGAUAAAGUCGGCAUCAAAAUCAUUUAUUAAGACAUUAGAAGAAGAAGAAAAUUUGGAAAUUCCAAUCCCGACGAGUGAUGGGGCAUCUAGUUGACAUAAAAGGUUAAUUCAUUCUCAUGGCUAUGGGCAGGUGCUAUAAUAUAAGAUGGUAAUGGGGUGAUAGCAUUGGUGCUAGUGAGCUUAUGUAAUUAAUUUGGGUUUUUUUUUUUUCUUUUUCUGAACGG
This is a long non-coding RNA of Helianthus annuus (common sunflower), 407 nucleotides long. RefSeq lists it as uncharacterized. NCBI's taxonomy places the organism in Eukaryota, Viridiplantae, Streptophyta, Magnoliopsida, Asterales, Asteraceae. The transcript is spliced from 3 exons. The record is from RefSeq and is a predicted model, not a curated record.